Molecule: ribosomal RNA, 789 nt
Filed under: uncultured archaeon
Lineage: Archaea
Description: bacterial SSU rRNA
Rfam family: Archaeal small subunit ribosomal RNA
Source: RNAcentral
UACGGCUCAGUAACACGUCGUUAAUCUGCCCUUAGGUCAGGGAUACCCUCGGAAAGCUGAGGUUAACCCUGAUAAGAGAUUAUGUCUGGAAUGAUUUAUCUCCUAAAUUCGAGCCUAAGGAUGAGACGGCGGCGGAUUAGGCUGUUGGCGGGGUAAUGGCCCACCAAACCAAAGAUCCGUACGGGCCUUGAGAGAGGUAGCCCGGAGAAGGACACUGAGAUACUGGUCCUAGCCCUACGGGGUGCAGCAGGCGCGAAACCUUUACAAUGCACGAAAGUGUGAUAAGGGAAUUCUAAGUGCUUACACUUUGUGUAGGCUUUUGCCAAAAGUAAAAAUUUUGGCGAAUAAGUGGUGGGAAAGACUGGUGCCAGCCGCCGCGGUAACACCAGCGCCACGAGUGGCAAUCAUGUUUAUUGGGCCUAAAGCGUUCGUAGCCUGUCUGAUAAAUCUUUUGUGAAAUUGUUGAGCUCAACUUAACAGUGUGCAGAAGAGACUGUCAGACUUGGGACCAGGAGGGGUUGAAGGUAUUCUUGGGGGAGCGGUAAAAUGCUAUAAUCCCUUGAGGACCACCUGUGGUGAAGACGUUCAACCAGAAUGGAUCCGACGGUGAGGAACGAAAGCUAGGGGAGCAAUCCGGAUUAGAUACCCGAGUAGUCCUAGCUGUAAACGCUGCGAGCUAGGUGUUGCACAUUCUUCGGGAAUGUGCAGUGUCGAAGCGAAGGUGUUAAGCUCGCCGCCUGGGAAGUACGGUCGCAAGACUGAAACUUAAAGGAAUUGGCGGGGGAGCAC